Panicum hallii is the source of this 4767-nucleotide RNA transcript. It is a transcript of the gene named ABC transporter B family member 20-like, with no coding region annotated. NCBI's taxonomy places the organism in Eukaryota, Viridiplantae, Streptophyta, Magnoliopsida, Poales, Poaceae. The record is from RefSeq and is a predicted model, not a curated record. The transcript is spliced from 12 exons.
AUGGUGCCGACGGGGCUGUUCGGGUGGGCGUCGCCGCACGUGCAGCCGCUCACGCCCGUGUCCGAGGUCUCCGAGCCGCCGGAGUCGCCGUCGCCGUACGGGGACGGACCGGCGGGGGAUGCGGGCGUGGGGGCGAGGGAGGGGGAAGGCACCGGCGCCGGCGAGGAGGAGGUGGAGGAAGACGAGGUCGAGCCGCCGCCCGCGGCCGUGUCAUUCUGGAGGCUUUUCGAGUUCGCCGAUGGGGUCGACUGGGCACUCAUGGCUGCUGGGGCGCUCGCUGCUGCCGCGCAUGGUGCGGCGCUCGUUGUGUACCUGCACUACUUCGGGAGGGCCCUUAAUUUGCUCGACUCUGAGCGGGUUGAGUCAGCUCUCCAUGGACGCAGCGAUGAGCUGCUCCACCGAUUUAAGGAGCAUGCCUUGUAUAUCGUCUAUAUAGCUGCUGGUGUUUUCAUCGCAGGAUGGAUAGAGGUAUCAUGCUGGAUUCUCACUGGGGAACGGCAGACUGCUGUCAUCAGAUCAAAAUACGUUCAGGUUUUGCUAAACCAAGACAUGAGCUUCUUUGAUACAUAUGGUAACAACGGUGAUAUAGUCAGUCAAGUGCUCAGUGAUGUAUUGCUCAUUCAGUCAGCUAUAAGCGAGAAAGUUGGGAACUACAUACACAAUAUGGCUACAUUUGUUGGUGGUCUCAUUGUUGGCCUUCUCAAUUGUUGGCAAAUAGCACUUCUAACUCUUGCCACUGGACCCUUGAUUGUUGCAGCAGGAGGAAUAUCUAACAUAUUCCUUCAUAGGCUGGCUGAAAACAUUCAAGAUGCAUACGCCGAAGCGGCUAGCAUUGCUGAACAGGCUGUCUCAUACAUCAGGACACUGUAUGCUUUUACAAAUGAAACUCUUGCGAAGUACUCCUAUGCUACCUCACUUCAAGCCACACUGAGAUAUGGAAUUUUGAUAAGCCUUGUCCAAGGAAUUGGCCUUGGAUUUACGUACGGACUUGCCAUUUGCUCUUGUGCUUUGCAACUUUGGGUUGGAAGACAUCUGAUCCAUAAACGAAAAGCUGAUGGUGGUGAAGUUGUGGUAGCUUUAUUCUCUGUAAUUCUGAGCGGCCUUGGUUUGAAUCAAGCAGCUACAAACUUCUAUUCAUUUGAGCAAGGACGCAUUGCUGCUUAUAGACUAUAUGAGAUGAUUAGUCGUUCAACUUCCAGUGCCAAUCAAGAAGGGAUCACCUUACCCCAAGUGCAGGGGAAUAUUGAAUUUAGAAAUGUGUAUUUUAGCUACCUGUCUCGUCCAGAAAUUCCAAUAUUAAGUGGAUUCUUCCUCACUGUACCAGCGAGAAAAACUGUUGCACUUGUUGGUAGAAAUGGCUCAGGGAAAAGCAGUAUAAUUCCUCUGAUGGAGAGAUUCUAUGACCCAACAUUAGGUGAAGUUCUUUUAGAUGGCGAAAACAUAAAAAAUUUGAAAGUAGAAUGGUUAAGAAGCCAAAUUGGUCUGGUGACACAAGUACCAGCUUUAUUGAGUUUAAGCAUUCGGGAAAAUAUUGCUUAUGGAAGAUCUGCUACCUUUGAUCAGAUAGAAGAGGCAGCAAAGACAGCCCAUGCCCAUGGGUUCAUCAGUUCACUUGAAAAGGGGUAUGAAACCCAGGUUGGUCGAGCUGGUAUAGCACUCACUGAUGAACAAAAGAUCAAAAUUUCAAUUGCCCGUGCUGUGCUUUCGAAUCCAUCCAUUCUGUUGCUUGAUGAGGUCACGGGAGGACUUGAUUUUGAAGCUGAAAAGGCUGUCCAAGAAGCAUUAGAUGUUCUCAUGUUGGGAAGAUCAACCAUUAUAAUUGCUAGACGUCUUAGCCUCAUUAAAAAUGCUGAUUACAUAGCUGUAAUGGAGGAGGGUCAUCUUGUUGAAAUGGGUACACAUGAUGAACUAGUGAACUUAGAUGGCCUUUAUGCCGAGCUUUUAAGGUGUGAGGAAGCAACAAAACUUCCCAAAAGGAUGCCUACCAAGAAUAGCAGGGAGCGUAAGUCACUCCAAAUUGAGGACGCAUCAGUGAGCCAAUACUUUCAAGAAUCCUCCUCUCCUAAGAUGACAAAAUCACCUUCACUUCAAAGAACACAUGGCAUGCUUCAGUUUUGGCGAUCAGAUACCAACAGAAAUUCUCAUGAUUCACCAAAGGACCGAAGUCCACCUUCAGAACAAACUGUGGACAAUGGGAUCCCUAUGGUUGCAAUUGAAGCUGAAAGAGUGCCAUCCAUCAAGAGACAGGAUAGUUUUGAAAUGAAACUGCCUGAUCUUCCUAAAGUUGAUGUCCACCCUAUACAACGGCAGUCAUCUAAGAAUUCAGAACCUGACUCGCCCAUAUCUCCUCUUUUGACUUCUGAUCCUAAGAAUGAGCGUUCACAUUCGCAAACUUUUAGCAGACCACAGAGUGAACGAGAUGAUGCGAGUUCUGAACACAGUGAACUGGAUGAGGUUCAGCACCAGAAACCUCCAUCCUUUUGGCGUCUUGCAUCACUUAGUAUUGCUGAAUGGCCUUAUGCACUUUUGGGUACAAUUGGUGCUGCUAUAUUUGGCUCGAUUAAUCCUCUGCUUGCUUACACAAUAGCACUUAUUGUGUCAGCAUACUAUCAUAUAGACACCAAUGAUAUGCGCCACGAAGUGAACAGGUGGUGUUUAUUCAUAGUCGGCAUGGGUGUUAUUACAGUGCUUGUCAACUGGUUGCAACAUUUCUAUUUUGGAAUAAUGGGGGAGAAGAUGACUGAGCGCAUAAGAAGGAUGAUGUUCUCUGCAAUGCUGCGCAAUGAAGUUGGAUGGUUUGACAAAGAGGAGAACAAUGCUGAUACACUGUCCAUGCGCCUGGCAAAUGAUGCUACAUUUGUCCGUGCUGCCUUCAGUAACCGACUUUCCAUCUUUAUACAAGACACUGCUGCAGUAUCUGUGGCUCUUCUUAUUGGAAUGUUGUUGGGAUGGCGGGUGGCACUUGUUGCGCUUGCAACUUUACCAGUUCUUGUUAUCUCUGCUAUUGCACAGAAAUUGUGGCUUGCUGGCUUCUCAAGAGGAAUCCAAGAGAUGCAUAGAAAGGCUUCGUUAGUACUUGAAGAUGCAGUACGGAACAUAUACACUGUAGUAGCAUUCUGUGCUGGGAACAAGAUAAUGGAACUCUACAUAUUACAUCUUGGCAAGAUACUGAAGCAAAGUCUUGUGCAAGGAUUGGCUAUAGGCUUCGGCUUUGGUCUCUCGCAGUUUCUUCUUUUUGCCUGCAACGCUCUACUUCUUUGGUACACUGCUAUUUCAGUUGACCAGCAACGUCUGACAAUAGCCACAGGACUGAAAGAGUAUAUUCUCUUUUCAUUUGCAUCAUUUGCAUUGGUGGAGCCUUUUGGACUUGCACCUUACAUACUUAAAAGGAGGAAAUCUCUUAUGUCAGUGUUUGAAAUUAUCGACCGUGAGCCAAAGAUUGAUCCUGAUGAUACCACUGGCUUGAAACCACCCAAUGUCUAUGGAAGUAUUGAAUUCAAGAAUGUUGAUUUCUCUUAUCCUGCUCGCCCUGAAAUUCUUGUGCUGAGCAAUUUUAAUCUUAAAGUUAGUGGUGGGCAAACAGUUGCAGUAGUAGGGGUUUCUGGAUCAGGGAAAAGCACUAUUAUUUCUUUGAUCGAGAGAUUCUAUGACCCGGUUUCUGGCCAAGUUCUACUGGAUGGUCGAGAUCUGAAGUCAUUUAACCUGAGAUGGUUGCGAAGCCACAUGGGCCUGAUUCAGCAAGAGCCAGUUAUUUUCUCGACGACAAUAAGAGAAAACAUUAUUUAUGCAAGGCACAAUGCAACAGAGGCUGAGAUGAAGGAAGCUGCAAGGAUAGCAAAUGCUCAUCAUUUCAUUAGCAGCUUGCCACACGGCUAUGACACUCAUGUGGGGAUGAGAGGGGUUGAUCUAACACCUGGUCAAAAGCAACGGAUUGCCAUUGCUAGGGUGGUUUUGAAGAAUGCACCGAUAUUGUUGUUGGAUGAGGCCAGCUCUGCUAUCGAGUCUGAAUCAAGUAGAGUGGUACAGGAAGCUCUCGACACUCUGGUCAUGGGUAACAAGACAACGAUUCUCAUUGCGCACAGGGCAGCAAUGAUGAAGCAUGUGGACAACAUUGUUGUCCUAAAUGGUGGUAGGAUAGUUGAGCAGGGUACACAUGACUCUCUGAUGGACCAGAAUGGUCUAUAUGUUAGAUUGAUGCAACCCCAUUUUGGCAAGGGCCUUCGCCAGCAUCGGCUAAUGUAAUUAUGGUUGAGCUUGUUAGGUGUAAAUUAUCCUAGGCCAUGAUCAGGUUCCGUUUUGCUCUAUGUCCAGCCAUCCAGGGCCCCUUUCUGGCAGAUGAAAAAUGCUGGAAGUGUCCGCUUGUUGGCGCUGUUCUGAGUGGAAGGGUGACCUGAUCUUGACAAAAUUUUAGCUUGAAGAUUCAGGUUACGUUCUUGCUGGGUAUAAACUCUUGCAGCCGUGAUCAAAAGCCUGUGGCUGGGUAAAUUCGGCACGAAUUGUUGAUGCCAUAGGGCUGUUUAGAUGUUAGGAGUAUAGGACAGUCGAUCGUUGAAUUUUUGAUGAAAUUUCGAACUAAAUCAUUUAUCCAAGGUUCCUGUGUCACUUGGCACGGGCGAAUCGUCAGCCUACCGAAUUUGUGCCCAACAGUGGCAUGAGUAGCUGCAGCACCUCAGGCCACCGAACUUGUAAGCAACAGCGGCAUGAGCAGUUUUUUCGUGUUCUCUGUUUCGAAUUUAAAAUUAUCUGUAUCUUGGGAUUUGUGUUCAA